RNAcentral lists this ribosomal RNA (611 nucleotides) under Nigrospora gorlenkoana. Its description in RNAcentral is "partial large subunit ribosomal RNA". It matches the Rfam family "Eukaryotic large subunit ribosomal RNA", at positions 36 to 668 of the family's 3401-position model. The record is from RNAcentral. Lineage: Eukaryota; Fungi; Ascomycota; Sordariomycetes; Amphisphaeriales; Apiosporaceae.
UUGCAUAUCCCCAAAAGCGGAGGAAAAGAAACCAACAGGGAUUCCCCUAGUAACGGCGAGUGAAGCGGGAACAGCUCAAAUUUGAAAUCUGGCCCUCGGGUCCGAGUUGUAAUUUGUAGAGGAUGCUUUUGGUGCGGUGCCUUCCGAGUUCCCUGGAACGGGACGCCUUAGAGGGUGAGAGCCCCGUACGGUUGGACGCCUAGCCUCUGUAAAGCUCCUUCGACGAGUCGAGUAGUUUGGGAAUGCUGCUCUAAAUGGGAGGUAUAUUUCUUCUAAAGCUAAAUACUGGCCAGAGACCGAUAGCGCACAAGUAGAGUGAUCGAAAGAUGAAAAGCACUUUGAAAAGAGGGUUAAAUAGCACGUGAAAUUGUUGAAAGGGAAGCGUUUAUCACCAGACUUUUUCUGGGGGGAUCAUCCGGUGUUCUCACCGGUGCACUUCCCCCAGUUGAGGCCAGCAUCGGUUUUCGGAGGGGGAUAAAAGCUUCGGGAAUGUGGCUCCCUCGGGAGUGUUAUAGCCCGUUGCAUAAUACCCUUCUGGGGACCGAGGUUCGCGCAUCUGCAAGGAUGCUGGCAUAAUGGUGAUCAACGACCCGUCUUGAACCCCCGGACCA